UGAGGAAUAUUGGUCAAUGGGCGCAAGCCUGAACCAGCCAAGUCGCGUGAGGGAAGACGGCCCUACGGGUUGUAAACCUCUUUUGCCGGGGAGCAAGCCUGAGCACGUGUGCCCAGGCGGAGAGUACCCGGAGAAAAAGCAUCGGCUAACUCCGUGCCAGCAGCCGCGGUAAUACGGAGGAUGCGAGCGUUAUCCGGAUUUAUUGGGUUUAAAGGGUGCGCAGGCGGGCUGUUAAGCCGGCGGUAAAAAUUCAGGGCUCAACCCUGUCGAGCCGUCGGAACUGGCAGUCUUGAGUGGGCGAGAAGUAUGCGGAAUGCGUGGUGUAGCGGUGAAAUGCAUAGAUAUCACGCAGAACGCCGAUUGCGAAGGCAGCAUACCGGCGCCCGACUGACGCUGAGGCACGAAAGCGUGGGGAUCGAACAGG
RNAcentral lists this ribosomal RNA (424 nucleotides) under uncultured bacterium. RNAcentral describes it as "bacterial SSU rRNA". It matches the Rfam family "Bacterial small subunit ribosomal RNA", at positions 355 to 776 of the family's 1533-position model. The record is from RNAcentral.